Molecule: non-coding RNA, 351 nt
Organism: Lonchura striata (white-rumped munia)
Lineage: Eukaryota; Metazoa; Chordata; Aves; Passeriformes; Estrildidae
Source: RefSeq, a predicted model, not a curated record
CGCCGUGGCGGUGCAGAAGCGCAUUGACUGCCACCCGCAGCCCGGCGCUUCCCAGGAGGCCUGCGAGGCGCGGGGCUGCGUCUGGUGCUCGGCCGGGGCGUCCAACGCGCCCUGGUGCUUCUUCCCCGAGGACAGUCCCUACGGCUACGCCCGCAGCGGCAGCGCCGAGCCCACGGACAAGGGCUGGAGAGUCACGCUGAACAAGCGCCAGGCCUUGUCCCUCUUUGGAAAUGACAUUUCCCCCAUCGUCUUGGAAGUGGAGUUCCAGACAAAGGACAGACUCCGGUUCAGGCUCUACGACCCCAACAAGCAGCGGUUUGAAGUCCCACUCAAGAUCGAUGGCCCCGGGGU